RNAcentral lists this ribosomal RNA (484 nucleotides) under uncultured bacterium. Its description in RNAcentral is "partial 16S ribosomal RNA". It matches the Rfam family "Bacterial small subunit ribosomal RNA", at positions 30 to 507 of the family's 1533-position model. The record is from RNAcentral.
AUUGAACGCUGGCGGCAGGCCUAACACAUGCAAGUCGAGCGGAUGAAGGGAGCUUGCUCCUGGAUUCAGCGGCGGACGGGUGAGUAAUGACUAGGAAUUUGCCUGGCAGUGGGGGAUAACGUCAGGAAAGGGGCGCUAAUACCGCAUACGUGCUGAGGGAGAAAGUGGGGGAUCUUCGGACCUCACGCGAUCAGCUGAGGCUAGGGCGGAUUUGCUAGUUGGUGGGGUAAAGGCCUACCAAGGCGACGAUCCGUAACUGGUCUGAGAGGAUGAUCGGUCACACUGGAACUGAGACACGGUCCAGACUCCUACGGGAGGCAGCAGUAGGGAAUAUUGGACAAUGGGCGAAAGCCUGAUCCAGCCACGCCGCGUGUGUGAAGAAGGUCUUCAGAUUGUAAAGCACUUUAAGUUGGGAGGAAGGACAGUAAGUUAAUACCUUGCUGUUUUGACGGUACCAACAGAAUAAGCACCGGCUAACUUCGUG